This 441-nucleotide ribosomal RNA is filed under the name uncultured bacterium. Its description in RNAcentral is "partial 16S ribosomal RNA". It matches the Rfam family "Bacterial small subunit ribosomal RNA", at positions 338 to 795 of the family's 1533-position model. The record is from RNAcentral.
CCUACGGGGAGGCAGCAGUGGGGAAUAUUGGACAAUGGGGGGAACCCUGAUCCAGCGACGCCGCGUGAGUGAAGAAGUAUUUCGGUAUGUAAAGCUCUGUCAGCAGGGAAGAAAAUGACGGUACCUUACUAAGAAGCCCCGGCUAACUACGUGCCAGCAGCCGCGGUAAUACGUAGGGGGCAAGCGUUAUCCGGAUUUACUGGGUGGAAAGGGAGCUUAGACGGUGCAGCAAGUCUGAGGUGAAAGGCGGGGGCCCAACCCCUGGACUGCUUUGGAAACUGUAUGGCUGGAGUGCAGGAGAGGUGAGUGGAAUUCCUAGUGUAGCGGUGAAAUGCGUAGAUAUUAGGAGGAACACCAGUGGCGAAGGCAGCUUACUGGACUGUAACUGACGUUGAGGCUCGAAAGCGUGGGGAGCAAACAGGAUUAGAUACCCUUGUAGUC